Molecule: long non-coding RNA, 810 nt
Filed under: Triticum aestivum (bread wheat)
Lineage: Eukaryota; Viridiplantae; Streptophyta; Magnoliopsida; Poales; Poaceae
Description: long non-coding RNA (TAES_LNC012621)
Source: RNAcentral
AAUGCAGAAUAUUUCUCAACACAGCCAAACUUGGUACAUUACAAUAAUAGUACAUAGUAUCCAGUUUUCUAAUACACAAAAAGAUCAAACAUUAACAAGCUCCAAUGAGGUUCUCUUUGCUGGGUGCGAAUUCUAGCUUCUUCAUCAUGGGACUUGUUGCAGCAGUCAGCACUUCAAUGAACAAAGGACAUCUACAUGUUAUAAACAAAACAAUUAGGAACAAAAUAAAAACAGAACAUUAUGCAUUUGGUGCGGAAAUGGUUAGAGCAAAGAGGAGCUUCAACAACAAAGCAAACCAAAUCAAAUCAAACACACACCGACAUUUGCAGAUGAAUAUUUUUGUUUGACUCAUUUACUGCUGCUCCCUUUAAUUUUCAGGACUACAUAUUCUAAAUCUACUAGUACUAGAUACCUACUGAUUAGAAAAUAAAGCUGAGUUAUACUAGUAGUGGUGGUGCUCAAUUGCCACUAUUCUUAUCAUAUUUACUCCAUAGGAACUAACAUGAACAUGCCAAUUGAUUAAAACCUAAGCCGUGUAAAUUUCAGUACAACAACCUUAAGCCAUGAUGAUAGACAGUGAGAAAAUCAACUAAAUUUAAGGAGUGCUAACCAAGAACCCUUUAAUUAACCCUACCAUUUCAUCUAACACCCCCAACCAAACAGGAGCAUGAGUAGGACAAUAGCUACUAAACCUUGAGGUCAGGCAUAUACAUAUACCUGGACUUUGCUUCUUAACAUGAGGCCCCCCAUUUGAGUUGGCCGCCUCUUCCUUUUUCUGCCCCUUGAUCUUAAACAGGUUUAUCAUCUUCC